GAUGAACGCUAGCGGCAGGCCUAAUACAUGCAAGUCAAGGGGUAGCAAUACACCGGCGGACGGGUGCGUAACGCGUACACAACGUACCUCAGAGCGGGGGAUAGCAUUGGGAAACUGGUGGUAAAACCCCAUGGUGUUGUUGAAUGGCAUCAUUUAACAACUAAAGGUUACACUCUGAGAUCGGUGUGCGUCUGAUUAGCUAGUUGGUGGGGUAACGGCCCACCAAGGCGACGAUCAGUAGGGGGUGUGAGAGCAUGACCCCCCACAUGGGUACUGAGACACGGACCCAACUCCUACGGGAGGCAGCAGUAAGGAAUAUUGGUCAAUGGACGCAAGUCUGAACCAGCCAUGCCGCGUGAAGGAUUAAGGUCUCUGGAUUGUAAACUUCUUUUAUC
RNAcentral lists this ribosomal RNA (395 nucleotides) under uncultured bacterium. RNAcentral's name for it is "bacterial SSU rRNA". It matches the Rfam family "Bacterial small subunit ribosomal RNA", at positions 28 to 440 of the family's 1533-position model. The record is from RNAcentral.